GCACCGACAUGUGAAAAGGCAGCGAAGCAAGUGCAGAAAAGAAAACACUUGGCAGACGUUGUUUUGCGCAUUACCGCGGAGUCGGACUCUUGAUUUUUCAGAAUCGGACUUUAUUGGCAGUGAUCAGGAGAUCGAGCAAGAGAGUUAGAAGCAGGCAUCAGCUGAUCAGACACCAGCUGAUGCCGCGCGAGCGGAUCUGCUGCCAGUUGAGUGCCUUCGCGCAGCCGAUGCAUGUACAGCAAGGUUCGCAUGGGAUAAAUACACAUACAUUGAUCCGUUGAGAGCCGAUAUGGCUACCGGAGUUUACAAGACGGCAUGGCUUGUUUUUGGACACGACAGAUCACCAGCUACUGUACUUCAGGCUGCUCUCUCCUGAUGCUGCUUUUCAGCUACUGUCAGACAAACAGGGCGCGAAGCGGAAGCAGAAGUAGACAAUGGCCGACAGUGAGAUGAAUCGCAUUGCCGUCGUCAUAGAAGAACUCCAGGCACUCGACGAACAGAUUCAGAAACUCCUGUCCAGAAGAAGACACCUUAGGGAUCUUGCUCGGCUACUGGAUAAACCGUCCUCGCCAUCUGUAAUCGGAGUAACAUCAACCCCACGUUGUGCCGCUCAAGUAAACUUCACCCCCGCGCCUCGUAGAAGCAACGACGACUCCGACGAAGACCUCGGCGGAUAUCAGCUAUGCAGGCGAGGGUUCAAGGCUAGAACACCUCCAUCGGCACAGGCAAGCAUUUUGACUCAGAACCGGUUCGACCCUCUCCGCGUCUCCAGUUUGCCUUCAGCCCCUGGUGAUGUAAUAGUGGUAGGUGAUUCUAUAGUUAGAAACCUCAAUAUCACAUGCCCUAAUCGAAAUCGUUUGUUUCUUGUUUUCCCGGUGCUCGUGUCUGAGAUGUGAUGAGACGUGCGCCGGCAAUCUACGAGAAGCACACAGAGAGAGCAUCUGGAGUGAUUGUUUUGCAUGCCAGCGUGAACGACAUAAGACAUCGACAGUCGGAAAUCCUCAAGGCUGACUUCGCAGCUCUAAUUAAGGACACGAAGGAGAGGACCCCAUCGGCAAAGAUCUUCAUUUCGGGUCCACUACCUCUCGUCAGACGAUCAAACAAGUACUACAGUCGUCUGCUAGGAUUAAACAACUGGCUGCAAGGCUUCUGCAAGAAUUAAGACAUCAGAUUCAUCAACAACUGGGACCUCUUUUGGGAAAGGCCGCGUUUCUUCAAGAGAGAUGGCCUGCAUCCGAAAAGUUUCUGCGCCCGGGUCCUCUCCGAAAACAUAUAUAAGGUAAUUUGUUUAUCUUGACUAUCUAUCUCUACUCUAAACCCCUUCUGAAAUGCUAUUGCUGUGCUAGGACAUGAUAAUUGUUUAAUAAAAUCUUCCGUAAAAGUGCACAACAUUAAUACUCUAAUAACCAAUCUCAAUGCACGUAGAAAAUCUAGGCAAUACGGCAUAAACACCAAUAAUUUAAUUAAAAUUACUACUUUAGAUGAACAAUGUAUUAAAACUAUAAAAACAGACUAAAGAUUAAACAAAAAAUACACA
Long non-coding RNA from Erpetoichthys calabaricus (reedfish), 1537 nucleotides. RefSeq lists it as uncharacterized. The transcript is spliced from 2 exons. NCBI's taxonomy places the organism in Eukaryota, Metazoa, Chordata, Cladistia, Polypteriformes, Polypteridae. The record is from RefSeq and is a predicted model, not a curated record.